RNAcentral lists this ribosomal RNA (1120 nucleotides) under Enterococcus wangshanyuanii. RNAcentral describes it as "bacterial SSU rRNA". It matches the Rfam family "Bacterial small subunit ribosomal RNA", at positions 352 to 1456 of the family's 1533-position model. Lineage: Bacteria; Bacillati; Bacillota; Bacilli; Lactobacillales; Enterococcaceae. The record is from RNAcentral.
GGGGAAAAAAUUUUUUGCGCGGGGGACACCCCCGGGGGAAGGGUAAAAAAGGUUUUUCGGAUUGGUAAAACUUCUGUUGUUAGAAGAAGAACAAGGUGGGAGAGGAAACUGAUGUUACCUUGACGGUUUUUUAACCAGAAAGCCCCGGGUUAACUACGUGCCCAGCAGCCGCGGUAAUACGUAGGGGGCAAGCGUUGUCCGGAUUUUUUGGGGCGUAAAGCGGAGCGCAGGGCGGUUUUUUUAAGUUCUGAUGUGAAAGCCCCCCAGCUCAACUGGGGAGGGUCAUUGGAAACUGGGGAGACUUGAGUGCAGAAGAGGGAGAGUGGAAUUUCCAUGUGUAGCGGUGAAAUGCGUAGAUAUAUGGAGGAACACCAGUGGCGAAAGCGACUCUCUGGUCUGUAACUGACGCUGAGGCUCGAAAGCGUGGGGAGCAAACAGGAUUAGAUACCCUGGUAGUCCACGCCGUAAACGAUGAGUGCUAAGUGUUGGAGGGUUUCCGCCCUUCAGUGCUGCAGCAAACACAUUAAGCACUCCGCCUGGGGAGUACGACCGCAAGGUUGAAACUCAAAGGAAUUGACGGGGGCCCGCACAAGCGGUGGAGCAUGUGGUUUAAUUAGAAGCAACGAGAAGCACCUUACCAGGUCUUGACAUCCUUUGACCACUAUAGAGAUAGAGCUUUCCCUUGGGGGACAAAGUGACAGGUGGUGCAUGGUUGUCGUCAGCUCGUGUCGUGAGAUGUUGGGUUAAGUCCCGCAACGAGCGCAACCCUUAUUGUUAGUUGCCAUCAUUCAGUUGGGCACUCUAGGGAGACUGCCGGUGACAAACCGGAGGAAGGUGGGGAUGACGUCAAAUCAUCAUGCCCCUUAUGACCUGGGCUACACACGUGCUACAAUGGGAAGUACAAAGAGUCGCUAGGCCGCGAGGUCAUGCAAAUCCCAUAAAGCCUUUCUCAGUUCGGAUUGCAGGCUGCAACUCGCCUGCAUGAAGCCGGAAUCGCUAGUAAUCGCGGAUCAGCAUGCCGCGGUGAAUCCGUUCCCGGGCCUUGUACACACCGCCCGUCACACCACGAAAGUUUGUAACACCCGAAGUCGGUGAGGUAACCUUUUGGAACCCAGCCCGU